Molecule: ribosomal RNA, 724 nt
Filed under: Pseudomonas monteilii
Lineage: Bacteria; Pseudomonadati; Pseudomonadota; Gammaproteobacteria; Pseudomonadales; Pseudomonadaceae
Description: bacterial SSU rRNA
Rfam family: Bacterial small subunit ribosomal RNA
Source: RNAcentral
UGCAGUCGAGCGGAUGACGGGAGCUUGCUCCCGGAUUCAGCGGCGGACGGGUGAGUAAUGCCUAGGAAUCUGCCUGGUAGUGGGGGACAACGUUUCGAAAGGAACGCUAAUACCGCAUACGUCCUACGGGAGAAAGCAGGGGACCUUCGGGCCUUGCGCUAUCAGAUGAGCCUAGGUCGGAUUAGCUAGUUGGUGAGGUAAUGGCUCACCAAGGCGACGAUCCGUAACUGGUCUGAGAGGAUGAUCAGUCACACUGGAACUGAGACACGGUCCAGACUCCUACGGGAGGCAGCAGUGGGGAAUAUUGGACAAUGGGCGAAAGCCUGAUCCAGCCAUGCCGCGUGUGUGAAGAAGGUCUUCGGAUUGUAAAGCACUUUAAGUUGGGAGGAAGGGUUGUAGAUUAAUACUCUGCAAUUUUGACGUUACCGACAGAAUAAGCACCGGCUAACUCUGUGCCAGCAGCCGCGGUAAUACAGAGGGUGCAAGCGUUAAUCGGAAUUACUGGGCGUAAAGCGCGCGUAGGUGGUUUGUUAAGUUGGAUGUGAAAGCCCCGGGCUCAACCUGGGAACUGCAUCCAAAACUGGCAGGCUAGAGUACGGUAGAGGGUGGUGGAAUUUCCUGUGUAGCGGUGAAAUGCGUAGAUAUAGGAAGGAACACCAGUGGCGAAGGCGACCACCUGGACUGAUACUGACACUGAGGUGCCACAGCGUGGGGAGCAAACAAG